CAAAUUUUAAUACCUCAUUAUACACGUAGCAGCAGCUCAUCUUCUAUCUGCCACUUUUCAAUCUCCUUCCCACACGUUUCGGACAUGCACAAGUUUUUGCAGAAAUUUGCCAACGCACGACCACUUCUAUUUCUUAUUUUCUUUUUCUUCCCCUGCCUCGGCUUCUCCUUUCUAGUUCCUUCUUUUCCUUUCUUUUAAGAACACAACCGAGAGGAAGAGAUGUGGGAGAGACUGAAAGAGGGAGAAGAAAGAGAGAGCCAGUGGGUGAGCCACCGGUUGGGGCGGACGGGAACGUUGGGCCGGUAGGCCACGGCUUGGCUUCGGCAAGGCCGCGGGGAGUCUGAUUUUUGGUACUUUCUCAGUACCCAAACCAAGAGGAAACCGUUUUAGGUAGAUGUAACAAAGAAUCCACUCAAGAUCGCCAGGAUGCAAUAAUCAGAGUCAUUUUUGGUAAUGGCAUAGACCUCGCUAAGAGCAAUAGAUUGUUGGGGGACUGAUGUAACCUUUGUUUUGUACAGUAUGUUUUCCUUUUGAUAUUUAUAGCAUUGUAAAGAGCUACUUUCAUGUUCAUAUAAUUUAAAUAGAAGAUGAUUAAGAUCUCCGUUUAAAA
Molecule: long non-coding RNA, 610 nt
Organism: Alnus glutinosa
Lineage: Eukaryota; Viridiplantae; Streptophyta; Magnoliopsida; Fagales; Betulaceae
Exons: 3
Source: RefSeq, a predicted model, not a curated record